RNAcentral lists this long non-coding RNA (4920 nucleotides) under Capsicum annuum. RNAcentral describes it as "long non-coding RNA (CANN_LNC011848)". The record is from RNAcentral. Lineage: Eukaryota; Viridiplantae; Streptophyta; Magnoliopsida; Solanales; Solanaceae.
CCGAGUAAUGAAACUCCAAUGCGAAGAUGUUGAUCUGAUGCUUCAAGGUGAGUGUAUCGAUUCAACUCGCCAAUAUAAUUUGUAUAGUUGCAAACCAAAACUAGCUUAGAGCCAAAAAGAGUUUUUACUAUUAACAUUCUACGCCUUUUUGGGUAGGUUCCACAUCAAGACAUCCGAAUAAGCUCUAACCUGAUGUUAUGGUAAUCGAUCCCAAACAUGAAAAUUUCUUCAAAGUAUAGAUUUAUACAGUCAAAUCUAUCUACUCAAGGUAAGGUUCCAGCCAGAUCUGUACUAGAUUCACAACUUUGAGAUACUUUCUAUGUUGGUCUAUUUAACUAAACUUUUCUCCGUCGUUUAAGUAGGUUGACCCUCACAAAGAAGUUAAUACCACUGUCUAACUUCAGGAGAUGGAAAUUCAGUCAAAUAGGUUGGUAUAUAACUUACAUAUUCUAGUACAUUUGUAUUGUGAACCUUGUUUUAUGUAUUGUAACAACCUGUCAAAGGCCUCUUAUCUUUAGAUGAUUUGUAUGACUUGCAUUCCUAUGCAUUGUGUCGUUUACCUUCUGAAAACAUAGCCUUGAAACUCUUUGCUUAUCUAUGUUUAAUAGAUUUCUUGCUCUAAUGGGUAGAUUUGCAAAAUGAGUAUAGUUUAUCGAACAUGCAAAAUGGAAAACAAUGUUAACUAAAAUAUCUGCCACCUGGUUCCCAAUAGUAAUCCCUUCCGUUUCCUUCCAUUCUUGAAUCCUUAUCAUUUCCGUACUAAUAUUCCAUGGAAUCUUUCAAUCAUUUUCAAUGAUCCUUUUCAUUGCCAAAGAAUCAGUUUCCACCACUAAAGACAAAUAGUUUUGAGGCAAAAUUCUAUGCCCUGUUCAAUUGCUUUAGCUUCAACAUAGAGGCUUGUUGCAUUGGAGAUGCUAUUAGUACUAGCAUGAAUACAUUUCAAAUGUGUCAUUCCUGGCGCAAAAGGCCCAUGAUGCAAAACCAGAGUUUCCUUUUGAGGAGCCAUCUGUGUUGCAUUUAACAAAACCUUUAGGUGGAAAUUGCCAAUUAAUAGGCUGACAGAAUAUAUGAGAUUAAAGAGCUUUAAAAUAUUGCACAAUAAGAAUUUAGGCAUUGAGAAUUUUGGAUAGCCAAGGAUACAUCACCACAGAAUAUUGGCGCCGAUUAAGAUCAAUAUCAUAGAAGUCCCUAGCGGUAGACAUUACCUCCAUGUACCAAAUUGUUUCUCCAUCUUCAAAUGUGCCACACUAGAGAAGAAAUAAAAAUUCAUCCAAAUAAGUGUGAAGAUAUGUGUACUCACAGUCAUAUUGAGUCCAACCAAUGGUCAUUUUUUCAAGAUCAUACAGAAAAAGUUUGUUUGAUAACAUUAUAUCUGCAUAAAAAAUUUCACAAGUCAUGCCACCAACAUGUCUAGCAAUUAUGACAAGCUGCAUAUUUGAUACAUAAUUCCUGUUCAGCUGAGCCGUACUACUUUCACAAAUGAAUGGAGGAAUACUUACAAUUAUAAUUACAAAAGAAGAAAAUGUUAAUAAUAAAAUUUAUAAUUGAAUUUAAUUUUUUUCCAGGUUUGGAAAGAAUAUAUCUCUGACUACUAAACUGCCUUGCAACAUUACUCUUCAAAGGCUACAACAUUUAUUUCAAGCAAAUCCGGUCCAAAUGAAAAAAAUUAUUGACACAAGGUGUCUGACACAAGGUUGAGUUUCAUUAAUGUAACAUCCCGUAGUUAUAACACUCGAAUAACGCAUUCAAAACGAACCUUAGGACCCCAUUUUGAUGGUAGACCAUGUUUAGAUGUUGCGGGUUGUCUUGGGGUGCUUUUAGGCCUUAAAAGCGGGUGUGCGUCGUGAUUUUGACCCUCCACAAAGGCCUUGCAUCAUGGAACAAACGCAAACAGCCACUAGAUGGAGUUGGCUUUUGGCAUGCGCCGCCAACCCUGAGGCUGACUUUGGUUGUGUGCCGCCAAUCCUAAGGUGGGCUUUGGCUGUGUGCCGCAAGGCAAAAGCCAAGUAUCAUAAGUUGCUUAGUUUUCUUCUAUUUUAAGGGCGUUGAAGUCUUUUCACACCCUAUAACCAUUCCUAAUCUUAUAUGGACGAAAUUAAUCUCUUAACAUACGUUAUUUUCACUUCUCAAAUAUCUAAUUAUCACUCCAUAAGCGAGAGAGGAAAGAAUACCUAGGGUUGAGGAUUUUGAGUUCAAGAGGGUAAAUUACUCUACGUUUUUGUCCAUUUCAAGGUAUGUGGGACUAUCCUAAAACUCAUGGGCAUAAUCUUAUCGUUUAAACAAAUUUUAAAGGUGCAUGAUUACAUAUAUGAAACGGGUUUUUGAAUUGUUGAAGAGUAUGUAUUGUAAAUCCUGUUUUAUGAUGAAAUCUUGUAUAAACUAUGAGGUUCUUUUUUUGGCUAAACUUGAAUUGUUUUCAUUUGUACAUGGGUUAUGAGUUUUGAAAAUUGACAUGAGAGCAUACCUUACGAAAUUCCCUCUCUUAUUGUGAAUUCCAUUGCAUUAACAUGUUGUGGGUUGUUCAAUUGCAUGAUUAAAUAGCUUGAGUUAAAUGUUACAUUACCAAUUGUUGAUUUGCAGUGCUUUAUGAUUCUAUGAGAGGGUAUUUAUGAAUUUGUAAAUGCUUUACAUCCUAAUGGGAAAUUUCAUGUGUUUGAUGAUAGAAAUGACUACCCUAUGUUGAGGUACUAAAAAGGGAGUAUUUUGCAUGAGUUUUACAUGUUUUGAAAUAAGAACUCUCUUACAUUAAUUAAAUGUUUUGGUGGUCCAGUAACAUUCUUUUCGAUUGAAAAGACUAAGAUAUGAUAUACUAUGAUAUGGCAUAUACGACUUGCAAGUCUUGGUAUGACGAUACUAAAACAGAUAAAUGCUAUGGAAGAUUCAAAAUAGAACAAACUCCAGACUUCAGAUCAGAAUUUCAGUAAGAUGCAUGUUUUAAAAGGCUAAAAAUAGAUUGUAAGAGAAUUUAGAUGGUUAUACGAAGAAGGCACGGGUUCAGCUGACUCAUUUCCCAAAAUCGUAUUUUGCUGACGCGAGUCAUUAUAUCCUGAAAUAUGGAUAUUAUACGCUGGACAUGUGUCUUUCGGCGUAUCAGAAUAAGAGACUCCAGCCUGUGCGACAAACUUAGGUUGGGGGUUUGGCCUCCGAUUUAAUGGUGGACCCAUAUAGCCCAUGGGUAAUUAGAGUUGUAGGGUGUACCAUCUAGCUCAGAACUAAAGUAAAGACUUAAGUUGAUGUUUUACAAGCACGAGUGGAUGUUUUUCAUUGAUUAUGCCCAUAUGUUUCUAUAUAUAUUAUGAUAAAUUAUUUUCAGAAGGGCUCACUUAUUUUACAUGAAGUAUGUGUUAUUUUUGGAUUGUUAUACAUACUAGUACUUUCGAGUAUUGACCCCCCUAUCCACAGGUUCAGAGGCUCAGUCCCGGGGUCCAGCUCAGUACUAGAUUAUUCCCAUACUUUCAGAACUUGGUGAGCCUCCUUUACACCAAAAGACAUUCUAUUUAGAUGUAAUCUCAGUCAGUUUUAUGGUCCUGCCGGGGGCUUUGUCUCGGUUUAGUCAAAGUAGUGUUUAUUCUUUCAAUUUAGUAGAGGCUUUGUAGACUAGUGUAACAUGGAAUUUACAUUGUGAUAACAACUUUAUUGAUUGUAUGUUAGAGGGUACUUGUUAUCAAAUGCCUUAUAAUUUAAGAUGUUUAUUUGCUACUAUAUUAGUAUAUUGUAGCCCUGAUAAUCCAGAUGAAUUAUGGGAACGAUUUAAAGAUCCAAUAUCUGAAGAUGUUAAGAAUAUGGGAAAUAUUGUACCAAAAGAUAUCCACCUACCUAUUGUGAACCAUAUAAAUGAUAUAUUACAUUCUAUGGGACAUGAUAAUCAAAAAGUUCAACCUUGUUUCAGAAACUAUCACAUCUUCGAAAAGUCACUGAAGCAAAAAAGUAUAUUUUGAAAGAAACAUUAUUGUAAGUGAUGAAGAAUUGUUGUUACACAAAAUUAAAUACAGAACAAAAAAUAGCAUAUGACACAAUACUUCAGAGAAUAUAUACUAACAACUCGAGGGCAUUAUUUAUAGAUGGUCCCAGUGGAAGUGGUAAGACAUUCUUAUAUUGUGUCUUGUUAGCAACUGUUAGAUCCAAUGGAUUUAUAGCAUUAGUAACUGCAACUUCUGGUGUUGCUGCUUCCUUCCUUCCAGGAGGACGAACAACUCAUUCACGUUUUUUAUGUUUACGUAUGGAGUGAUGUCCUGAAUUUAUUAAAUUUGAUUAAAAGGGAUUGUUAUGCUUACAGUUUACCUUCCGCACAUCCAUUUCAUAUGACCUAUGCUUAUGAUUACAUGCUAAGAGGUCUCUCGGGUCUUCAUGGUUCAGGAUGACCGUUGCGACCAAGUCCUCGACUUGGGUCGUGACAAACUUGGUAGUAGAGCACGGUUCAGGGUCCCCGGGUGUCUACGAAGCCAUGUCGAGUAGAGUUUUUUUUAAUGGGUGUGUAGCACGUCAUACUUAUAAGGUGGAAGUUACGAGGCAUUUAGGAAUGUUUCUCUUUUCCUCAUGUUCUAGUUCAUGCUAUAGAGUCUGAAUGUUUCCUAACUCAUGAUUUCCUACAUUUCAGACCAUGUCUGAUCUAAUGAGCAGAUGACUUAUGUUGAUGAUGUCCGCCCUACUCAUGGGAUGCGGAUCCAUUAUAUAGCUCGUACCCAAGAAUUCAUUGCUACUCCAGGGGUUUCUCCAAUAUAAACCAGCCCUCCUCGGGCUCCUUGGUCCUAUGUUAAUCGUACUCAAUCCCCAUAGAGAGAGGUCUCAACUGUUGAGUUCCACCAGUCUGUCCAUAUGAUUUCUAAGCUUGUGGCUUUCAAUCUCGUUGGCCUAGAGAUGGGAGUUUUAUUCCUGGUUCUUCUAAAAUUACUCGAUUUGUCCAUUUCAUAAGGCUGAAUG